This 808-nucleotide long non-coding RNA is filed under the name Monodelphis domestica (gray short-tailed opossum). Its description in RNAcentral is "lncRNA (ENSMODG00000038080.1)". Lineage: Eukaryota; Metazoa; Chordata; Mammalia; Didelphimorphia; Didelphidae. The record is from RNAcentral.
CUGCCCCAGCGAAUUAGGAAGAGGACUCCAUUGGGGUGAACAGCAUCAAAAAUGUGCAUCUCCUAAAGCCCGGGGUUUUAGGGGAAAGCUGCUUGGCUAGGUUGGAUGUGGGUUCCUAUUUUUGUUUUCAAAAUUGGCGGAAGGGGUAAUGCGGCGUGGUGGAAGGGUACCGGGGUUCUAGACUUGGCUCAGACGCUAACUUGUCCUGUGCCCCGGGGCAAACGCUGAGCUCCCCAUCUGUAAAACAAACCGAACCAGACGGUCGUUAACGCUCUUUUUUAACGCUCUUUCUGGGUCGAACAUUGGAUGUUCUAAGUCCCUUCCUGCUCUCACAUCCAACAUUCUAAGCUCCCUUCCCUCCUUCCAGUGUAGCCACGAAGCAGCCUAUGUAGCGGUCAGAGUGCUAGAGGACCUAGGUUUAAAUCCUCAUUCAGAUUUUACUACCUGGGACCACAGACAAUUUCCGAAGCUUUCAGAGCCUCAUCUGUAAAAUGGGGGUCACCUCCAACUUGAUUAUCCCAAGUCCCAGACAUAAAACCAUCUUCUUGCUUCAGUCAUCACCAUCAGCCAAAGACCUUCAGCCAAGUCCAGCAGUUGGCUCUUGCUUCCAACUGUUUCCCAGUCACAUUCCAAAUGGAAUCUUCAUUUGACUGACAUGAUCAAUCUCCAGCUUCUUGUCUUGCUGCAUGCAUGCCUCUUCCACAGCACUGUGCUAAGCUUCGGGGAUACAAGGAAGGCAAAAAAUACUCCCUCUCUUAAGCAGCCUCAUGAAGGAAACAAUAUGCAAAUGGAGUUAGAUGAUCUCUAA